RNAcentral lists this ribosomal RNA (497 nucleotides) under uncultured bacterium. RNAcentral describes it as "partial 16S ribosomal RNA". It matches the Rfam family "Bacterial small subunit ribosomal RNA", at positions 28 to 507 of the family's 1533-position model. The record is from RNAcentral.
GAUGAACGCUGGCGGCGUGCCUAAUACAUGCAAGUCGAGCGAACGGACGAGAAGCUUGCUUCUCUGAUGCUAGCGGCGGACGGGUGAGUAACACGUGGAUAACCUACCUAUAAGACUAGGAUAACUUCGGGAAACCGGAGCUAAUACCGGAUGAUAUUUUGAACCGCAUGGUUCAAAAGUGAAAGACGGUCUUGCUGUCACUUAUAGAUGGAUCCGCGCUGCAUUAGCUAGUUGGUAAGGUAACGGCUUACCAAGGCAACGAUGCAUAGCCGACCUGAGAGGGUGAUCGGCCACACUGGAACUGAGACACGGUCCAGACUCCUACGGGAGGCAGCAGUAGGGAAUCUUCCGCAAUGGGCGAAAGCCUGACGGAGCAACGCCGCGUGAGUGAUGAAGGUCUUCGGAUCGUAAAACUCUGUUAUUAGGGAAGAACAUAUGUGUAAGUAACUGUGCACAUCUUGACGGUACCUAAUCAGAAAGCCACGGCUAACUACGUG